This 71-nucleotide transfer RNA is filed under the name Trichonephila inaurata madagascariensis. It matches the Rfam family "tRNA". From Rfam's summary of the family: Transfer RNA (tRNA) molecules are approximately 80 nucleotides in length. Their secondary structure includes four short double-helical elements and three loops (D, anti-codon, and T loops). The record is from Rfam by way of RNAcentral. Lineage: Eukaryota; Metazoa; Arthropoda; Arachnida; Araneae; Nephilidae.
GGGUGUAUAGCUCAGUGGUAGAGCAUUCGACUGCAGAUCGGGAAAUCCCGGUUCAAACCCGGGUGUCCCCU